RNAcentral lists this ribosomal RNA (1140 nucleotides) under Pediococcus acidilactici. RNAcentral's name for it is "bacterial SSU rRNA". It matches the Rfam family "Bacterial small subunit ribosomal RNA", at positions 328 to 1460 of the family's 1533-position model. Lineage: Bacteria; Bacillati; Bacillota; Bacilli; Lactobacillales; Lactobacillaceae. The record is from RNAcentral.
GGCCCAGAUUCCUACGGGAGGCAGCAGUAGGGAAUCUUCCACAAUGGACGCAAGUCUGAUGGAGCAACGCCGCCUGAGUGAAGAAGGGUUUCGGCUCGUAAAGCUCUGUUGUUAAAGAAGAACGUGGGUGAGAGUAACUGUUCACCCAGUGACGGUAUUUAACCAGAAAGCCACGGCUAACUACGUGCCAGCAGCCGCGGUAAUACGUAGGUGGCAAGCGUUAUCCGGAUUUAUUGGGCGUAAAGCGAGCGCAGGCGGUCUUUUAAGUCUAAUGUGAAAGCCUUCGGCUCAACCGAAGAAGUGCAUUGGAAACUGGGAGACUUGAGUGCAGAAGAGGACAGUGGAACUCCAUGUGUAGCGGUGAAAUGCGUAGAUAUAUGGAAGAACACCAGUGGCGAAGGCGGCUGUCUGGUCUGUAACUGACGCUGAGGCUCGAAAGCAUGGGUAGCGAACAGGAUUAGAUACCCUGGUAGUCCAUGCCGUAAACGAUGAUUACUAAGUGUUGGAGGGUUUCCGCCCUUCAGUGCUGCAGCUAACGCAUUAAGUAAUCCGCCUGGGGAGUACGACCGCAAGGUUGAAACUCAAAAGAAUUGACGGGGGCCCGCACAAGCGGUGGAGCAUGUGGUUUAAUUCGAAGCUACGCGAAGAACCUUACCAGGUCUUGACAUCUUCUGCCAACCUAAGAGAUUAGGCGUUCCCUUCGGGGACAGAAUGACAGGUGGUGCAUGGUUGUCGUCAGCUCGUGUCGUGAGAUGUUGGGUUAAGUCCCGCAACGAGCGCAACCCUUAUUACUAGUUGCCAGCAUUCAGUUGGGCACUCUAGUGAGACUGCCGGUGACAAACCGGAGGAAGGUGGGGACGACGUCAAAUCAUCAUGCCCCUUAUGACCUGGGCUACACACGUGCUACAAUGGAUGGUACAACGAGUCGCGAAACCGCGAGGUUUAGCUAAUCUCUUAAAACCAUUCUCAGUUCGGACUGUAGGCUGCAACUCGCCUACACGAAGUCGGAAUCGCUAGUAAUCGCGGAUCAGCAUGCCGCGGUGAAUACGUUCCCGGGCCUUGUACACACCGCCCGUCACACCAUGAGAGUUUGUAACACCCAAAGCCGGUGGGGUAACCUUUUAGGAGCUAGCCGUCUAA